AUACAUGAUACAUGAACAUAGCUACACAAACAAACCAUAAUUCCUGGGCCAUGCAUGCUUAGUGCUGCUUCCCUUCCGGACUAUUCGAAAUUACUACUAUGCCCCUCCCUCCCUUUUAUCAUAUAGAUCUUACUUCCCUACCGGUUGCACUUUCUGUUGUGUUGGAUUAUGGCUUUGAGGUAUGGAGCUCGCAAGUUGUCUCAUCCAAUUCUCACUGUAAGUUGAAAAAUCUUCAAUCCUCCUUGAAUCACAUCUGAUGUUCAUGAUUUUAGUGUUAGUCAUUAAUUCUUUGUAAGAAAUUGGAGGCCCUGUGAUCUUAUGCACCUAAUCCUUUGAAUUUGAAGUAACUUACCUAUCAAUAUGUGCACACAGAAGGGUUGGCUUAAAAGGCUUCGGUGCCCUAAUCCCAGUACUAAACCAAAACAAAGCAGGAAAAAAUGACUACAUAGUGAAAUUUAAUACAUUUGUAGCUCAUACCUGUUCUUUAAGAAACAAGUAAUAUAAAUGCAUGUCUCGAUUCUCGAUAUAACUUCGUCUGUUAACAGAAUCUAUUAGAUAAAAGGGCUGAUAGUCUGAGUAGUUCUAUAUGUGUUAAGAUAAGAGUGUUGUAAUCUUAGCUUAGAGCUGGAAUGGUUAUACAGAUGUUGAUGACAUCUCUAAUUCACUAAACCAACUAAGCAGCUAGCUAUAAAUACUAAACUGCACAAUCCCUCUAUUAUUUAUUCAUUAUACUAACUGUUCUAAGGUUCAGUUUCUCUCUAUUUCUUUAUCAUCUAAAUUUCCUUAUUCCUUGUCGGAUCCAUGCUGAUGUUCUAGUUUCCAAUGUAAAUAAAAGUUAUUGUUGUUUCACAUAACUGUACUGUUCAACGCAGUGAAAUUUAACAUAAGUGGCCAGUCUAUGCAACUGAGCUCAUAGCCUAAUUUUCCAUCAUAUCUAAAAUAUAAAAUUUCACUCAUCGUGGGUUUAUUAAGGCUUGUACAGAUUUUCAAUCUUGGGCUUCAACUACUGUGGUACUUUCUGCAAAUAAUUGUCAGCAUAUGGUAUUUCAUAUCAGCCAUGGCUAAUUUAUUUGAAAGCUAUGUCAUCUCUUAUGGGUUAUUGAAGAAAUACAAGUCUCUUCGUUUAGAAAACCUCCGGUACCUAGCCAUUGUGAUAGAAAGUGAAGAUGCUCAUCAGACUUCAAAAGUUGUUAAGCUUUUACGGUGGCUGGACUCCAUCGGUGUAAAGAAUGUAUGCCUCUAUGACAUGAAUGGAGUGCUGAAGAAGUCCAAGGAAGCCAUAUUCCAAAAAUUGAAGAAUGCAAGAUCCAUAGAGGUGCCAUAUACAUUUUCUCAAUAUAAGAUUAACUUCCCUCCUGGUUUAUGAUAUUAACUUGCUUCUGAACAAACAGUGCAUCUUAUGUGUUUUCCAUCUUAAUCACAUGGUUUUGGUGAGUUUAUAUUUAAUACAUCUUAAUGAUAGGGGGAGAGAAACACAAGUCAGCUAGAAGGUUAGUUUUAGGUGUCUGGAUGGUAGGUUGAAAGUGGGAUUGAGAGAAAGUAAACAUGAAAAAAUACCUGCGAUCCCACAGUAAAAAUUCUCUGCAAAGAUGAGUUGACAAGGGAGAGAAAACACAUUGUACAGCAGCCAAGUUUGUUUUUCUUUUUCGUCUAUAACUACCCACUUUGAUAUUAAAAAAACUGUUCUAUUUGCUUUUAAAAAAAGUUCCUUUUCUUCUUCCUCAUUUAAAUAAGGGGAAAUAAAAAAUAACAAUCUUCUUAUUUACUUAUUAUCAUUUUCUUCACACAUCCAAAACAUGUUGGUAAGAAGUAUGGUUAAAUCACUUAAAUGGCUCAUUCGGUGGCCAUCACUGUCAAGCCUCAAUUGUCAACAGUAAGUUCUACUAUUUUAACACCUGUUUAAUCUGAUCUAGCAUUAACUCAGUGCAGGAAACUAAUGAAGCUGACACAAAACAUGUUCCAGAUCACAUGACUUUAGAAAUUGUU
This 1986-nucleotide long non-coding RNA is filed under the name Lupinus mutabilis. RNAcentral's name for it is "partial ncRNA". Lineage: Eukaryota; Viridiplantae; Streptophyta; Magnoliopsida; Fabales; Fabaceae. The record is from RNAcentral.